GCAACGAGCGCAACCCCUGUCACUAGUUGCCAUCAUUAAGUUGGGGACUCUAGUGAGACUGCCUACGCAAGUAGAGAGGAAGGUGGGGAUGACGUCAAAUCAUCACGGCCCUUACGCCUUGGGCCACACACGUAAUACAAUGGCCGGUACAGAGGGCAGCUACACUGCGAAGUGAUGCAAAUCUCGAAAGCCGGUCUCAGUUCGGAUUGGAGUCUGCAACUCGACUCUAUGAAGCUGGAAUCGCUAGUAAUCGCGCAUCAGCCAUGGCGCGGUGAAUACGUUCCCGGGCCUUGUACACACCGCCCGUCAAGCCAUGGAAGUCUGGGGUACCUGAAGUCGGUGACCGUAACAGGAGCUGCCUAGGGUAAAACAGGUAACUAGGGCUAAGUCGUAACAAGGUAGCCGUACCGGAAGGUGCGGCUGGAACAUCUCAUUU
This 436-nucleotide ribosomal RNA is filed under the name Chryseobacterium metallicongregator. RNAcentral describes it as "bacterial SSU rRNA". It matches the Rfam family "Bacterial small subunit ribosomal RNA", at positions 1089 to 1533 of the family's 1533-position model. The record is from RNAcentral. Lineage: Bacteria; Pseudomonadati; Bacteroidota; Flavobacteriia; Flavobacteriales; Weeksellaceae.